This 230-nucleotide long non-coding RNA is filed under the name Elaeis guineensis (African oil palm). Its description in RNAcentral is "long non-coding RNA (EGUI_LNC043291)". The record is from RNAcentral. Lineage: Eukaryota; Viridiplantae; Streptophyta; Magnoliopsida; Arecales; Arecaceae.
UGGAUGACGAGGAAGGGGAGGAGAGGAGAAUGACUACUGGCAAGGAAUGGGUUGGAGGAGGAGGAGGACAAAAAAGAUAAGAAGGUGGGGAGAAAGAGGAGGAGAAGGCAUGGAUUGUCAGCGAAAAAGGGCAAAGGUGGAAGGGGCCACCAUGGAAGGGGAUGGCUUAUAGGUGCCUUGGAUGAGGAGGAGGAUGAAGAAGGAAAGAAGAUGAAGGGAUAGAUAGGUUU